This 465-nucleotide ribosomal RNA is filed under the name uncultured bacterium. Its description in RNAcentral is "partial 16S ribosomal RNA". It matches the Rfam family "Bacterial small subunit ribosomal RNA", at positions 28 to 507 of the family's 1533-position model. The record is from RNAcentral.
GACGAACGCUGGCGGCGUGCUUAACACAUGCCAGUCGAGCGAGGUCCCUCCUUCGGGAGGGUGUCCUAGCGGCGAACGGGUGAGUAACACGUGGGCAACCUGCCCUCAGCUCUGGGAUAACUCCGGGAAACCGGGGCUAAUACCGGAUACGACCUCCACGGGCAUCUGCGGAGGUGGAAAGUUUUUCGGCUGAGGAUGGGCCCGCGGCCUAUCAGCUAGUUGGUGGGGUAGUGGCCCACCAAGGCGACGACGGGUAGCCGGCCUGAGAGGGCGACCGGCCACACUGGGACUGAGACACGGCCCAGACUCCUACGGGAGGCAGCAGUGGGGAAUAUUGCGCAAUGGGCGAAAGCCUGACGCAGCGACGCCGCGUGAGGGACGAAGGCCUUCGGGUUGUAAACCUCUUUCAGCAGGGACGAAGCGAAAGUGACGGUACCUGCAGAAGAAGCACCGGCCAACUACGUG